AUGGAUCAGCCCAAAUUUAGGGUCAAGAUCAGGGUAGGGAAUGUGGUUAGGGUUAGGACGAGGGUAAUGGCCUGGUCCUCCCCAUGGAGGCCCAGGAAAUGCACGGUCCUUCCCCCUGGUCCCUCUUCCUCCCCGGUCCCCAGAAGAGCCGUCCCGGUUUUGCGGUUGGGGUCGCUGGUGAAGGGUCUGGUCACGGAAGCGACCCCGUCUUCCGUAACGGACCUGCUGCCAUUCCCCCUCGUUGGCAGUGGAAAACAUAACAAUAAUAAAAAAAGUGAAAAAAAGUUUUUGUGGUUAGGGUUAGGGUUAGGGUUAGGGUUAGGGUUAGGGUUAGGGGUUAGGACGAGGGUAAUGGCCUGGUCCUCCCCAUGGAGGCCCAGGAAAUGCACGGUCCUUCCCCUGGUCCCUCUUCCUCCCCGGUCCCCAGAAGAGCAGUCCCGGUUUUGCGGUUGGGGUCGCUGGUGAAGGGUCUGGUCACGGAAGCGACCCCGUCUGCCGUAACGGACCUGCUGCCAUUCCCCCUCGUUGGCAGUGGAAAACAUAACAAUAAUAAAAAAGUGAAAAAAGUUUUUUUGUAUCUUUUAUUUUUCAAUGUUUCUAUCUCUUUAAUAAUCAAAGAGACCUUACCAAAUAAGGUUUUAAUAAAUAAAAGGAAGCUUAACCCCUUAAUAAAAUACAAGAAUAAAAAAAUAAAAAAAUAAAAAAAACAAAAAAACGAAAAAAAACUCCCUGUUAAUCAACGAAAAAAAGUGCCCCUGUGCGACGUUUCGACACUUCCGUGUCUUCUUCAGGCUGGGCACUUCAGCAAAUGGUAGACAAAAGUCUAAUCAAUCAAAAAAAGUAGCUCAAACAAAGUAAUAACAGCUAACAAGCUAGUAGCAGCUAACGAGCUCACCCUCUGUGUGUUGCCUCUGCUGUUGCUCCGCUCCAAGUGAGCAGGCUGCAGCGUGCGCUGCUAUUAACACCCUCCCCUGUAUGGAGUAAAUUGGUGUCACCCAGUUUUUUAGUUUGACCAAUACCAAAUGUAAAAUAAAAUCCCUUUAACCCCAUAAAUGCCAAUAGGUUUUUAAUGAAAGCAUUUAAUUCAAUGAAUAAAAUCAAUUGUUUUAAACUCUUUAAUAAAUAAAAACUACUUAAACAAUUUUAUUUUAAUUGUUAAACAUAUGAAUUACUACUUUGAUAAAUUUUAACCCUUAAGUAAUUAAUUUUAAAACCCUAAAACUAAUGAAAUAAUUAUGACUUAUAAAAAAUUGUUUUAUCCAAAUGUUUAUCUUCUAAUCUCUAAAUCUUAAAUCUACAAAUUGUUUAACUACAAAAUAUGUAAUUAAAUUAAAUGUUCUAACUCUCCAAUAAAAUAAAUCAAUUUUUUUAUUCCAAUUAUUUUACAUAGAAAUUAGUACUGUAAUAAAUUAUAACUCUUAAUAAAUAAUUUUAAACCCUAAAAAUAUGAAAAUUUUAACUUUUUAAUUGUAAAUGUAAUAUAUCAAUUGUCCAAAUUUUUCAUUUUUUUUAUUUUUAACAGAUGUAAUUUGCAUAACAACAAAAUUACUAAAUUAGGGUUAGAUUUAGAUAAAAUUAAGUAGUUAGGGUUAGGGUUAGGAUUAGGGGUUAGGGUUAGGGCUAAAAUAUGGAUAGGGCUAAGAACAAGCCACAUAUAAUGGUUAGGUUUAGGGUUAAGUUUAGGUAGGGGUUAAGAGGUUAGGUUUAGGUCAAUUCAGGUUAGGGUUAGGGUUAGAAUUUAGACAGGGAUAGGGCUAUAAAAGAGCAACAGACCAUGGUUAGGUUUAGGCAUCCAACAGAAAACAAUGGUUGGGUUUAGGCAUCCAACAAAAAACAAUAGUUAGGUUUAGGCAUCCAACAGAAAACAAUGGUUGGGUUUAGGCAUCAAACCAAAGACAAUGGUUGGGUUUAGGCAUCCCACAAAAAACAAUGGUUUAGGUUUAGGCAUAAAACAAAAGAAUGGUUGGGUUUAGGCAUUCAAGAAAAUAAAACUUAGGUUUAGGCACCCACACUAAGUAUUGACAAAGUUUAAAACAAGUGUUAGAACUUAACAUUGAGUCCAUUUGGCUCUUUCGUGCCUAGCCAAUGAAUCCAUUGUCUUUCUUUAGCCCUUCUUUCUUUUGUUGUCCAGGUAAUAUUGCUCUGAAUACCUGCUAUUCUGAGUGCUUGAAAUCCAUGCAAAAUAAAAUGUCUUACCAGGGGAGUCUGAAUUUCUUUCUUGUUAACAAUAUUAUACUUGUGUUGCCACAUUCUCAUCCGAAUAGAAUUCCUUGUUUCCCCAACAUAUUUUUUAUCACAUUUUGUACAGAAAAUAUAAUAAAUCACAUUAGUUGUUUGUGGCAAAAAGUCUUGUGUUAACUUAAAAAUCCUUUUGUCAACGGAAUUUUUUACAUAUUUCAAUGAACAAAAAUUCUCCAUAUGUCUGUGGGACUGCUGUAAAGGCCUAAGUUUAGCCCUGACUAAGAGAUCUUUCAAAUUAUUGUUUUUCUUGUAAGCUGAGAUGAUGUCAAAAUCAUUCAAGAGCUCAGUCUGUCCCAAAACCAAAUCAAAAUUUUUCUUCAAUCUGAAAUUAAGUUCUCUGCUAAUCGAAGAAAACUGAGUAAUCAAAGGUAUCAUCCUUCUCGGAUGUAUCAAUUUUCGUUCCUUAAAUGAUCCUAAGCAUCGACGAAGGAACGAUCUGGAAUAGCCUCUUUUCCUUAAGGCUCGAAACAAUAUUUUAACAGCUUCCCAAAAAUCGUCCGACUUAGUACAAAUUCUAAAAAAACGUAAAAGCUGCGACUUCACAAGUCCCUUAAACGUAUGUUGGGGAUGAAAGCUGGACUUAAAUAAAAGAGCGUGAGUAUCAGUUUUCUUGAAAAACACUUUAACAUCCAGCUUCCCAUUCAAAGCAAAAUUCGAACCCUUAUAAACUGUAGUGUCCAAGAAGUCAAUUGAGAACUGAUUGACCUCAUGUUUUAACGUAAUCGAGGGGUCAUGGGUGUUCAGAAUUUGCAUAAACUGAUUGAAGUCCUCUAAAGAGUCCCCCCAUACCCCCCAUAUGUCAUCCAAAUAUCUGACAUAAUGGAGUGGUUUUUUCGGGCACUUUGCUAAUGCCCCCUCUUCCCAAUUUGCCAUAAAAAUGUUAGCAUACGCGGCGCAAAUCUCUUUCCCAUUGCUGUCCCUUUUACUUGCAAAUAAAAUUCCUCGUUGAAAACAAAAUCAUUCCUAGUUAAAUUAAUUUUAAGCAACUUCAACACUUCCUCAUCCGGCCUAUCCUCCUUCGGAUAUUCCAAGAAAACUUUUUUAACUGUUUCUAACCCUGCUUCAAUGGGUAUAUUAGUAUACAAACUAUCUACAUCUAGACUGAAGAACAAGGCAUUUGCCGGGAUGACCAAAUUUUUAACAAUUUCAAUAAAGUGAUAUGUGUCUUUCACAUAAGACGGAUGAAGAACCGACAACGGAUUCAAGAAAAAAUCAAUGUACUCAGCUGUUGCAUAAGUGUCACUCCCACAAUCCGACACUAUAGGCCUCCCUGGAGGCACUUCAAAUGGCACUGUCCACGUUUCCGGGGGUUUGUGAAUCUUGGGUAAGAUAUAAAACCGUCUGGCCCUAGGUUCAGUCUGGCCUUUUAAGUAUUUUGCCUGUUUAUGAUUGAUG
Long non-coding RNA from Scophthalmus maximus (turbot), 3636 nucleotides. The record is from Ensembl. NCBI's taxonomy places the organism in Eukaryota, Metazoa, Chordata, Actinopteri, Pleuronectiformes, Scophthalmidae.